UUUCCGUUGGUGAACCAGCGGAAGGAUCAUUACAGAGUUCAUGCCCUUACGGGUAGAUCUCCCACCCUUGAAUAACAUACAUUGUUGCUUUGGCGGACGCUUCGGCAGCCGCCAGAGAAACCCAAACCCUGUCUUACAGUGUCGUCCGAGUACUAUAUAAUAGUUAAAACUUUCAACAACGGAUCUCUUGGUUCUGGCAUCGAUGAAGAACGCAGC
RNAcentral lists this unclassified non-coding RNA (216 nucleotides) under uncultured fungus. RNAcentral's name for it is "sequence contains ITS1, 5.8S rRNA gene". The stretch from base 168 to 216 matches the Rfam family "5.8S ribosomal RNA", at positions 1 to 49 of the family's 154-position model. The record is from RNAcentral. Lineage: Eukaryota; Fungi.